This 71-nucleotide transfer RNA is filed under the name Loxodonta africana (African savanna elephant). It matches the Rfam family "tRNA". Rfam says of the family: Transfer RNA (tRNA) molecules are approximately 80 nucleotides in length. Their secondary structure includes four short double-helical elements and three loops (D, anti-codon, and T loops). The record is from Rfam by way of RNAcentral. Lineage: Eukaryota; Metazoa; Chordata; Mammalia; Proboscidea; Elephantidae.
GUAUUGGUGGUUCAGUAUUAAAAUUCUUGCCUUCCAUGCAGAAGAUCCUGGUUCGAUUCCUGGCCAGUGCA